This is a non-coding RNA of Aedes aegypti (yellow fever mosquito), 43 nucleotides long. The record is from Rfam. NCBI's taxonomy places the organism in Eukaryota, Metazoa, Arthropoda, Insecta, Diptera, Culicidae.
AAAACGGCCCUUUUCAGGGCCAAUAUUACGAUUAAAGAAUUGU